This 285-nucleotide unclassified non-coding RNA is filed under the name uncultured bacterium. Its description in RNAcentral is "contains 16S-23S intergenic spacer region". The record is from RNAcentral.
UUCGUACAUGUUGCAACUCAAUUCAUGUUUUUCUUCUGAUCUCUGCCAUUUGAAAUUGGACUCAACAUGCCCUCCUCCACCAGUAGUCACCACACAGAGCAAUUGGCAGAGGCAAAUGACCCCAAAAAUCCAAGGAUGCAUCCUCAUUGCAACACUCCUUUGUGUAAUUGUGUGAAGGUGUGUGUUUUGUAUAUAUAUAUAAUUCAAGAUAAUUGGUUGGAACUGGACAAAAUUUUAGUUUGUCUCUCUGCAGAGAAUGUGUUGAAAAGGGUGCCUGAACCAAGC